UACAGAGGGGGCAAGCGUUGUUCGGAAUCACUGGGCUUAAAGGGCGCGUAGGCGGGUUCGCAAGUCUGUGGUGAAAUCCUCCGGCUCAACCGGAGAACUGCCUCGGAUACUGCGGGUCUCGAGGGUGAUAGGGGUAUGCGGAACUAUCGGUGGAGCGGUGAAAUGCGUUGAUAUCGAUAGGAACUCCGGUGGCGAAGGCGGCAUACUGGAUCACUUCUGACGCUGAGGCGCGAAAGCCAGGGGAGCAAACGGG
RNAcentral lists this ribosomal RNA (253 nucleotides) under uncultured bacterium. Its description in RNAcentral is "partial 16S ribosomal RNA". It matches the Rfam family "Bacterial small subunit ribosomal RNA", at positions 524 to 776 of the family's 1533-position model. The record is from RNAcentral.